AUUGAACGCUGGCGGCAUGCCUUACACAUGCAAGUCGAACGGCAGCGGACCUUCGGGUGCCGGCGAGUGGCGAACGGGUGAGUAAUAUAUCGGAACGUACCUUUCAGUGGGGGAUAACGUAGCGAAAGUUACGCUAAUACCGCAUAUUCUGUGAGCAGGAAAGCAGGGGAUCGCAAGACCUUGCGCUGAUUGAGCGGCCGAUAUCAGAUUAGCUAGUUGGUGAGGUAAAGGCUCACCAAGGCGACGAUCUGUAGCGGGUCUGAGAGGAUGAUCCGCCACACUGGAACUGAGACACGGUCCAGACUCCUACGGGAGGCAGCAGUGGGGAAUUUUGGACAAUGGGCGCAAGCCUGAUCCAGCCAUGCCGCGUGAGUGAAGAAGGCCUGGUUGUAAG
Molecule: ribosomal RNA, 394 nt
Filed under: uncultured bacterium
Lineage: Bacteria
Description: bacterial SSU rRNA
Rfam family: Bacterial small subunit ribosomal RNA
Source: RNAcentral